Molecule: ribosomal RNA, 498 nt
Filed under: uncultured Glomeromycotina
Lineage: Eukaryota; Fungi; Glomeromycota
Description: partial small subunit ribosomal RNA
Rfam family: Eukaryotic small subunit ribosomal RNA
Source: RNAcentral
CCAAUAGCGUAUAUUAAAGUUGCUGCAGUUAAAAAGCUCGUAGUUGAAUUUCGGGGUCAAUAUGUUGGUCGUGCCUUGGUACGUACUAGCUUAUUGAUUUCUCCUUUCUGACGAACCAUGAUGUCAUUAAUUUGGUGUCAUGGGGAGUCAGGACUGUUACUUUGAAAAAAUUAGAGUGUUUAAAGCAGGCUCGCGCUUGAAUACAUUAGCAUGGAAUAAUGAAAUAGGACAUUUGAUUCUAUUUUGUUGGUUUCUAGGAUCGAUGUAAUGAUUAAUAGGGAUAGUUGGGGGCAUUAGUAUUCAAUUGUCAGAGGUGAAAUUCUUGGAUUUAUUGAAGACUAACUACUGCGAAAGCAUUUGCCAAGGAUGUUUUCAUUAAUCAAGAACGAAAGUUAGGGGAUCGAAGACGAUCAGAUACCGUCGUAGUCUUAACCAUAAACUAUGCCGACUAGGGAUCGGAUGAUGUUAAUUUUUUAAUGACUCAUUCGGCGCCUUACG